Molecule: long non-coding RNA, 1449 nt
Filed under: Macaca fascicularis (crab-eating macaque)
Lineage: Eukaryota; Metazoa; Chordata; Mammalia; Primates; Cercopithecidae
Description: lncRNA (ENSMFAG00000063951.1)
Source: RNAcentral
AUGUCAACAACGCAUCGCCUCUACUUUUACCAAAAAAUAGGCGCACAAAACUCCCCUGUUUGCGCCCGCGGCCACCUGUCUCCGCCUCCUCGCAGGAAGCGGUCCCGGCGCGUGGGCUCGGGCUCGGGCGGGGCGUGGGCCGCGGUCCCGGAAGGGGUGAAGCGCCCGGCGGGCGGGCGCGGGGCAGGGAGGCCAGGGAGCCGCAGCCGCUCCGCAGCCCGUCCGCAGACCCGGCCAGGCGGCGCGCCCCGAACGCCCCGUGCCCGCCCCGCCCGCCCUCCCCGCAUCCCGCGCGCGCCCCUAGCAGCCGGGAGCCGGAGCGCUGGCUCCGCGCGGCCUGGAGAGGCGGAGAGGCCGGUCCGCCGCCCCUCUGCCGCCCACGCCCCGCUGCGGGUCGGAGGAGCAGGAGCGCUCGCAGGUGCUCGGAGAGGCCGGGCCGCGGCUCCCACAGGUGCCGGAGGAGGCCGCGCAUGCGCCGGAGCCCACCCGCCAGGCUGCGCGUCCCGGGCCCGGGGGCUGAAGAGGAGCCGCGGCGAGGAACAAGAGAAUGGUGAGAGGACGCGGAAACACCUGAUAUCCCAGCAAAGGAAGCUGCAGAGGAAGGGUCCUGCCCCGUGAGCAAGGACGGCCUCCAGGAGCACAGCGGCUUCUCCUGACACCCCCCUGGCAGUGAAUUACGGAUGACCCCGUAUCUGGGGAGGUGCGGACGCCGACACACGGGGAGAGCUCAUGAGACCAGCGCGCAGGACCAGUGUCCUCCCCGUGACCUUGCAGUUGUGUAGCCACAAGUGGGAGCCACAAAGAAGGAGAGCCCACAGGGGGACUCUUUUCAAGACAUGGGGUUAAAUCGGGGCUCUGAAGUUGGGGCCACGGCUGAUCUCAGCUUUCUGCGUCCUGGGGGUGCUGUGAUAUGAUGGAAUGUGAAGUGAGUGGUUGACCACGGACUCCUGAAAGGGCGCAGCAGAUACCUGGUUAUCCGCUACUGCAGAGACACCUGGUCAGCCGGCGUUGCAGAGAGGGACAGCUAGUCACUCAGACUACAGAGAGAGACACCUGGUCACUCAGACUGCAGAGAGACACCUGGUCACCCAGGCUGCAGAAACAACCGGAGUCAACUGCAGCUCCAGUCAGUGCUGUAUGUUGGCUGACGUGGUCUUGCACCGGCUGGAGAUCCAUUCACCAAGACUCUCUGGGCAGAUUUAAAGUGAUUGGGGUUCAGAAGUUCAGCAAGAGUUGGACACACCCCUCCUCACUGGAGAGGAGAGGGGAAAGGCGGGGGACGGGGAGCAGCGUGUGAGAUUACCCCCCUCACACACACACACACAGCAAAAAAGCGUGGACACACAGAAGUGAAAUCUGAUCGCGUGCCAGGAAAAGCUGUGAGGCUGGAAACCCCGGAGUAACGCUCGACCUUGGCCAGACCUGCAGGCUGUGGAGCCGGGAGAGUGC